This 432-nucleotide ribosomal RNA is filed under the name uncultured bacterium. RNAcentral's name for it is "partial 16S ribosomal RNA". It matches the Rfam family "Bacterial small subunit ribosomal RNA", at positions 29 to 506 of the family's 1533-position model. The record is from RNAcentral.
AACGAACGCUGGCGGCAUGCCUAACACAUGCAAGUCGAACGAGACCUUCGGGUCUAUUGGCGCACGGGUGCGUAACGCGUGGGAACCUGCCCUUAGGUUCGGAAUAACUCCCCGAAAGGGGUUCUAAUACCGGAUAAUGGCUUCGGACCAAAGAGUUAUCGCCUUUGGAUGGGCCCGCGUUGUAUUAGCUAGUUGGUAGGGUAAAAGCCUACCAAGGCGACGAUCCAUAGCUGGUCUGAGAGGAUGCUCAGCCACACUGGGACUGAGACACGGCACAGACUCCUACGGGAGGCAGCAGAGGGGAAUAUUGGACAGUGGGAGAAAGCCUGAUCCACCAAUGCCGCGAGAGUGAUGAAGGCCUUAGGGUUGUAAAGCUCUUUUACCCGGGAUGAUAAUGACAGUACCGGGAGAAUAAGCUCCGGCUAACUCCGU